UCUAAUGGUCAUACCACCCAGCACACACCUGAUCUCAUGUGAGCUCAGAAGCUAAGCAAGUUCAAGCCUGGCUGGCGUGCGGAUGGAU
This 88-nucleotide ribosomal RNA is filed under the name Meriones unguiculatus (Mongolian gerbil). Lineage: Eukaryota; Metazoa; Chordata; Mammalia; Rodentia; Muridae. The record is from RNAcentral.